ACGAAGCUGAAUGGGGCUGGUCUUGAUUUGAAUGCCUCGAAAUGCGCAACAAUGAUGGUGCUGAAAAAUGGUAAGAAAAAAUCAACUUACAUGUCAUUAAAAGGAAUAAUAAUUAACGGAAAUGAAAUACCAACAAUGAAAGCCACAGAAACAUACAAAUAUCUGGGAUUGCAAAUGAGGUUUAAAUCAAAAGAACAAAAUACAAAAGAGGUGAUAGAGAAAGGAUUAGAGAACGUAACAAAAGCACCUCUAAAGCCCCAGCAAAGAAUGCAUAUCCUAAGAGACUUCAUAAUACCAAGAUUAAUACACAAAAUGGUAUUAGGAAGAGUGGCUAAAAAGACGCUUAAAAGAAGCGACCAACUUAUAAGAAAAAAAGUACGAAACUGGCUACAUCUCCCGAAAGACACUUCAUCAGCCUUCAUACAUGCUGAUGCGGGGGAUGGAGGACUCGGAUUACCAGCAUUAAUACAUAUUAAUCAUAUGCUAAAAAGAUAUCGAAUAUUAAACUUAAGAAACUCAACUGAUCCAGUAACUAAAUAAUGCCUGAAAAUGGAGUACACAAGACAAGUACUAGGAAAGUGGAGUAAGCCUACCAAAAUAGGAGAAAUUCUGGCAACUUAUAAAAUCAAAAUGAAGGAAGUGUUCAGAAAAAAGUUGUUACAAACUCUGGAUGGAAAAGGGUUACAAGACCAUCAUGAAACCCCUACUAUCCACAAAGGGAUUAGAAGAGGAGAUAAUAUGACAGGGAAGCAGUACAUAUCUGCAGUAAAGAUCAGAGGAAAUCUAAUAGCGACUAAAUCAAGAAAUAGUAGAGGAAGACCUGAGCGGGACGGACUAUGCAAUGCCCAAUGCGGACGACCGAAUAGCUUGGGUCACAUUCUUCAAGGGUGCUGGAGAACCCACGGAAUGCGAGUCGAGAGGCACAACAAUAUCUGCCGAAGAAUAAAGGCUAUAACAAAAUUAAAAGAAAGUGAAGUAAUCGAAGAGCCAAGAUUACAAACAGAUGAAGGACUCAGAAAGCCUGACUUAAUAAUUCGGCACAAAGGAAAAACAAUAAUAUGCGAUGCACAAGUAGUGGCAGAUAGCUAAAAUUGCGAUUUAGAAAAUGAAAACAAAAGGAAAAUAGACUACUAUAAGAAAGAUUCAAUAAUCAAGGAAACAAGAAAACUUAUCGGACGUGUCGAGGAAAAUAUAAUAGCAAUGGCAUUCACAUUCAAUUGGAGAGGAGCCAUAGCAAAAGAUUCAAUGAGAGAUUUAGAGAUACUCCUAGACAUAAAAUCGAAAGAAGUAAUCAAAAUGUCCAGAAAGAUACUAAGGGAUAACAGCAUCAUGGUGAUGAUGCAUAGAAACCGAACUGAGAGGAAAAGGUAGUAGAAAAAGAAAGAAUACAAAAAUGAUUGGGAAUUAUGACCGAUAUAGCUGAAAGCCAAAAGGAAGGUUAGAUCCUGAAACCGAAGUGUAGUUUCGAUCCCAAGAGGAACUGUGGGUUAAGCUUGAGCCGAUGGAAAAAGCGAAUGCAUGUUAGAUGGCGAGGUACAGUCACCUCCUCGUGGUAUUUGGCGGGCAAUGCUCACUAAAAUAACUGUGAGUAGCUAAGACUGUAUAUUUAUCAUGAAAAAAAAUAGCCAAAUGCCUCGUCAUCUAAUUAGUGACGUGCAUGAAUGGAUUAACGAGAUUCCUACUGUCCCUAUCUACUAUCUAGCGAAACUACAGCCAAGGGAACGGGCUUGGAAAAUAUAGCGGGGAAAGAAGACCCUGUUGAGCUUGACUAUAGUCCGACUUUGUAGGAGAACUUUAGAGGUGUAGCAUAUGUGGGAGACUUCGGUCGACAGUGAAAUACCACUACUCUGAUUGUUUUUUACUUACUCAAUGAUGCAGUAUAAUUAACUUUUGUUUGUUUAUUUUAGUGAAAAAAUUGCGAUCUUCGGAUGCAAUUGAACUUUUUUGAAGGACAGUGUCAGGUGGGGAGUUUGACUGGGGCGGUACAUCUGUCAAAUGGUAACGCAGAUGUCCCAAGGGAAGCUCAACUAGGACAGAAACCUGGUGUUGACUAAAAGGGGAAAAGCUUCCUUGAUCUUGAUUUUCAGUACGAAUACAGACCGUGAAAGCGCGGCCUAUCGAUCCUUUUGAUUUUUACAGAGUUUGUAGCAAGAGGUGUCAGAAAAGUUACCACAGGGAUAACUGGCUUGUGGCGGCCAAGCGUUCAUAGCGACGUCGCUUNGACGUGCAUGAAUGGAUUAACGAGAUUCCUACUGUCCCUAUCUACUAUCUAGCGAAACUACAGCCAAGGGAACGGGCUUGGAAAAUAUAGCGGGGAAAGAAGACCCUGUUGAGCUUGACUCUAGUCCGACUUUGUAGGAGAACUUUAGAGGUGUAGCAUAAGUGGGAGACUUCGGUCGACAGUGAAAUACCACUACUCUGAUUGUUUUUCUACUUACUCAAUGAAGCAGUAUAAUUAACUUUUGUUAAUUUUUUUUAGUGAAAAAAUUGCGAUCUUCGGAUGCAAUUGAACUGUUUUGAGGACAGUGUCAGGUGGGGAGUUUGACUGGGGCGGUACAUCUGUCAAAUGGUAACGCAGAUGUCCCAAGGGAAGUUCAACUAGGACAGAAGCCUGGUGUUGACUUAAAUGGGAAAAGCUUCCUUGAUCGUGAUUUUCAGUACGAAUACUGACCGUGAAAGCGUGGCCUAUCGAUCCUUUUAAUUUUUACAGAGUUUGUAUCAAGAGGUGUCAAAAAAACUAGUGGUUUUUACUAGUAAUGUCCAUUCUUGUCACUAUAAAUAUCCGGGGAUAUUUAUAGAGAGUUGUUUGCUAUCAGGUGCCUUACUGUUUCCAUCAGCAACCAUGAUAGCUAGACUCAAUUGGNGUCAGAAAAGUUACCACAGGGAUAACUGGCUUGUGGCCGGCCAAGCGUUCAUAGCGAGUCGCUUUUUGAUCCGUCGAUGUCGGCUCUUCCUAUCAUUGAGAAGCAGAAUUCGCAAAGCGCUGGACAGUUCAACCACUAAUAGGGAAUGUGAGCUGGGUUUAGACCGUCGUGAGACAGGUUAGUUUUACCCUACUAUAUAAUUUGUCAUGAUAAUAGUAAUUCUGCUCAGUACGAGAGGAACCGCAGAUUCGGAUCACUGGUAAAUGGGCUUGAUCGAAAGGUCAGUGGUACGAAGCUACCAUCCGAGAGAUUAAGACUUAACGCCUCUAAGUUUGAAUCUCGCCUAAAAAUCAUAAUAUUUUGUGCCAUCCUCGUAAUUGU
Molecule: ribosomal RNA, 3245 nt
Filed under: Schmidtea mediterranea
Lineage: Eukaryota; Metazoa; Platyhelminthes; Tricladida; Dugesiidae
Description: eukaryotic LSU rRNA
Rfam family: Eukaryotic large subunit ribosomal RNA (bases 1362-3245)
Source: RNAcentral